RNAcentral lists this long non-coding RNA (242 nucleotides) under Elaeis guineensis (African oil palm). RNAcentral's name for it is "long non-coding RNA (EGUI_LNC000509)". The record is from RNAcentral. Lineage: Eukaryota; Viridiplantae; Streptophyta; Magnoliopsida; Arecales; Arecaceae.
GUUUUGCGUUUGAACUUUGAAGAUGAAAUCAUGUCGCAUAAGGAUCAAACGCUUGGUUUUGAUCAACAAUUAGUCUCUGAAGUAGCUGACGCAAAGCAUGCAUGUUGUUGCGAUUCAUAUCUACAUUGUUUUUUUGUCCAAAAUAAAUAUUUACGUUGUCUUUUCUAGUCUGAAUUUGUUCUCCUCAAUUUUAUUCUUCCUGCAAGUCUAUAUAGUGUUUGGUGUUUGUUCUUAUGAUCCCC